This 7963-nucleotide long non-coding RNA is filed under the name Sorghum bicolor (sorghum). RNAcentral describes it as "long non-coding RNA (SBIC_LNC001794)". The record is from RNAcentral. Lineage: Eukaryota; Viridiplantae; Streptophyta; Magnoliopsida; Poales; Poaceae.
GCAACAUCCUACGUCCGCGCCACGGGCGUCAUCUUUAUAUUACAGAGAAGGUAAACACUGUUGAGAUUAAUUAGAAUUAAUUAAUAAGUGAUCAAUCUGUAGUUAAUCCCGUCAUUAGCAACUGCUAAUGACGGUUGUACUGUAGACGUAGGAAGACACCUUUUGGGGUUCACGAGACACCCCUUGGCCAAAGGGCAUCUGUCCCUUCGGUUUGUAUAUAUUCAGAACAUAGUUCAUCAGACAAUACACAACAGUCAUUCUGCACUGUUCUCGUUUCUCUAAACACGUUAUCACGCACGCGCUCUGCCAACAACUGCUAACAGGCAGAGAGGGAAGGAGUUCACCGGAGCACUCGCUGAGAGUUCGCCGGAGUUGCUGUUCAUCCAAGGUAGAAGAUGACGACCCCUGUUCCUUCCAUGAACGCUAAGGUUGACGCCAUCACCGACGCCGUCGAGGCCGCCAUUGCCCGCGGCAACAACCAUCCUGGAGGAGUUCGUCGGUUCAUCCUCCAGGGCGCCAUCCGCGGUGCUCUUCGCGACAUCUCCGACCGCCGCAUCGCCCCUCGCCGUCUCUACGGCGCUGGACCGAACGCCGGCGGCCGCCCGACAACUUCGCGCCCCGUGCCUCGUUUGUCGAGGCUCGAGUUCGCCACUGGAGUCUGCCCCCGUCAUGGCCCGACGACGUUCACUCGUCGUGUCGGGGCAGCGCCGUCACCAUCGCUGAUGCCGCUCACCGACCCUCUCCCAUCACCAACUCCACCGGUGCUGCCAUGGAACGGAGGUGGUGGCACCAUGGCUGGACGCCGUGGCGUCCCUCCGUUCUUCGACAACCGCGAUGGCCCGACAGCGGCGGCGUGUCCACCCGGCUUCGCCUACGACAUCGGCGUCGUCUUCCCCCAGCCGCUGCUAUCUCCGAUCCGGACUCCGCCUCGCACGCCCUCCUACGCCGACGUCGCCGCAAACCGCAUCGACGGCCUGCGCCGGAGCACGAACGGAGCGGGCGUCACCUCUUCCUCGGUUGAGGGAGAGGCGGCCGGUCGCCGCUGAAGCCCCUGCGGGGGAGCCGGUGGGGGCGCCACCACCGAUCCCGGCACACUGCGACGACCCCCAGGGCCGGAGCACGCUGGGGACGGGUGGGGCGCGCCUCGCCGGCCGAUCUCCAUGGUCGGGGAGAGGGCAUGGGCCCUAAACCGCCAUUGGAGGAGCACCGGAGGAGGAGAAGGCGGCACAAGGGGGUGGGUCCUACCGGCGACGGCAUCCGGGCAAUUUGGCGCGGUGGCGGCGUCAGGCGCGGUGGCGGCGGUGGUGUGCGACGGCGACGGCAGGGCACCAGGCGGCGGCGGCGGCGGGCCGGGGCAGGCGGACGGUUAGGGUUUCCAAACCCUAACCGCUCCCCUCCCUCUUAUAUGCGGCCGCAAUGGGCCGGUUGGCCGGCUGGGCCGCGCUCAGGCUGGCUGGGCCGCGCCUGGCCUUUCGGCUGGGCCACGCGCGUGGCCGGCUGGCGGGGCCGCUGGCCUAGCUGGCCGCCGGGGGUCCUUUUUCUUUUUCUUUUUCUUUUAUUUUUCUUUCAGCAGUACUAUUAAGUUAAUUAGCAUAUGAUUUACUAGUUUAUUGAUUGCAAGAACAUCGUUAUUUGUAUGAUUGUUGUUGCUCAGUACCUGCUGUACCCUGUGAUUGUAAAUAAAUUAUGGUUUGUUUAUAUUGUUAUACAAUCCAAGGCUUAUUUCUAUUAUAUUUUUGAUAUAUGUUGUGCACACAAACCCUUUUGCACCACAUAUAUAUUCUACAUUUGUGACUUUGAUAAUUAUUUUGGUGAUCUGUUAGUGCACCCAAACCCUCCAGUUUUGCACUAACAUAAAGUUACACUUGGAAUUUUAUAAUAGAAAUAGGGUAUGUUGGUGCCCCAAACCACAAAUUUUGCACCACAUACAAGUUAAAUUUGCUAGUAGACUUAGUUGCAAUUUAACUACACCAUCUAUAGAAUUAAAUAAUUUUAAUUACUAUAGGAUUAAAUUUGCAAUAUAAAUAUCUUGAUUAUUUUGGUUAAAUAUACACAAGGUAAUAGAGACUAUGGCAAAGGCUGCGCUUAAUUCUUCAUGAAUUAUUCUGUCUAGAGACCGUGCCAUAGCAGUGAUCAAAUCACCUAUUACUGAGAGGUCUACAUCUUAUUUCUAUGAAAUUUGAUGAUUACCUACACUAUAUUAUUAACUAAAAUAAAGGUUUUUGGAUUGAUUUUUUCAUCAUAUAAUUUCGAUAUUACACAAAAUAGUAGAGACCUAAGCAAAGGCUGCAUUUAAUUCCCUUGUGAAUUAUCUUGCCCAGAGACCGUGCUUAGGUAGCAAUCUACUUGCCUACUAUAAAGAUCUACUCUUUGUCACUGACAUAGAGAUUAUCUGUCUUGUGAUUAUCAAAAUUUUAUGAAGAUCUGGUUGUAUGGUCUACACCUACAACAAUCAAAAACUAUGAUAAAAUAUAAAAUCAUAAAAAUAUAUUGCAUUCAGAAUUACAACUCUACCAUGUUGUUUUUAAUUUACCAGAUGGUAAAUUAAUCAAACCAUGGUCGCUCAUGUAGAACCAUGACUACUACUGUGGAGUUUGAGAAACUCUCUUUACAUGGAGAAAAUUACCCUACAUGGGCUUCUGAUAUCAAGAUUGCACUUGCAUCUCGUAGUCUUUUGGCUACGAUACAGGAACCCCAGAAUGGGGUUGUCCUGCAAGAAAAGCAAACUUAUCAAGCUUUGGCUUUAUUACGGUUUUAUAUUCAUAAGGAUUUAAAAUCAGAAUACCUUAUGAUUGAGAGUCCCAAAGAAUUAUGGGACGCUCUUAAAGAGCGAUACGAACAGCAAAAGGAACUCAUUUGGCCUGAGACCAAUCAUGAAUGGAAUCACUUACGUCUCCAAGAUUUCAAAUCUGUGGCAGAUUAUAACCAUGUUGUUCAUAAAAUUUGCUCUAAGUUGAAGUUUUGCGAAAAAGAGCCAUCAGAUAAAGACAAGAUAGAGAAAACACUCUCUACCAUGCUACCAUCUGAUUGAGUAUUGCAACAGCAAUACAGGGCUCAUAAUUACCAAGCAUAUUCUCAGCUUAUCCAUACAUUAACUCUGGCAGAAAAACAUGAUGAACUCCUUUUAAAGAAUCAUCAUAAGCGCCCUGUUGGUUCGGCGCCUUUACCUGAGGUUCACAAUGUACAGGAAAAGCCUAAGAAUAAGUUCAAAGGAAAGUUUCCAAAGAACAAAUUUGGUAAAUGCAAAUUCAACAAAAAGCAAAGGUUUAAUCAUAAUAAGAAGAACAAGGACAAUGCAAAAGCUCCCAAAAAUGACAACAAGUGUCAUAGAUGUGGAGAUUUUUCGCAUUUUGCCAAGAAUUGCCGUACUCCAAAGCAUUUAGUUGCUUUGUACCAAAAGUCCUUAAAAGAGGCUAAGCCUGUAGGAGAUAAGAAAUAUGAAGCACACUUCAAUCUUGCAACUGAGGCUAACAAGGAAGCGGGUUGUUCCAAGAUAGCCCCUAAGGAACAAACCCGUAGUAAAUCUCUCAAUAUUGAAGAGAAAAUGCCAUCGACAGACAACAUGCUCAUAGAUUUUGAAUCUGGAGACAUGUUUGGAGAUUUAGAAUAAUCUCAUAGUCUGGAACUUGAUAUCAUAAUAGAUAUAUAUAUAUAUAUAUCCCUAUAUAUAUAGUGUUGUAAUUAGUCUAAGUCAUAUCUUAUAUUUCGUGUGCUUGUAUAUUGUACAUACUUGUUUUGUUAGAUCAAGUUUGUAUCAAGUUGUUCAUAUUAUAUUAUAUCAUACUUGAUAUUUAAUAUAUAUAUAUAUAUUAUAUACUUGUAUGAUUCAUUUAUAGUAUUUAUUUUCUUUACUAUACAUAUAGAUGUAUGUUGAACUUAAUCCAUUGGAGGAAGAAUUAUGUAUUGUGGACUCAGGGGCCACAAACUCUAUACUUAGAGAAAUUAAAUAUUUCCAAACUCUUAAGAAAAGAGAAGGGAACAUCUUGACUAUUGCUGGUCAUGAUGCGUUAAUAGUUGGUUCUGGACGGGCCACUAUUACUCUCCCAAUGGGUACACAGAUUACGAUAGAGGAUGCAUUGUUGUAUCCCGAAUCAACUCGUACCCUUCUAAGUUUUAGAGACAUCCGUAAGAAUGGUUUUCAUGUGGAAACACAUGAAGAUAGUAAAGAGGAAUAUCUUCUCUUUACCAAACUUACGGCAUUUGGCAAACGAAUUUGCGAAAAGAUUUCUUCACUCCAACAUGUAUUGUAUUUCACAUACAUAAAACCUGUAGAACAUAUUGUCUACAAAAUAAUUUUCUGAGAUGUCGAUACAUUCCGGAACUGGCAUGAUCGACUUGGGCAUCCUGGAAUUGGGAUGAUGAGAAAAUUUAUUAGCAAUUCUACUGGUCAUGACAUGGAAAAAGCAAGAUUUCCCCAAAAUAAAGAUUUUUGCUGCACUGCUUGUGCUACGGGGAAAUUAAUUUUAAGACCAUCACAUCUUAAAAUACGAGCUGAACCACUUAAAUUCCUUGAACGAAUUCAAGGAGAUAUUUGUGGUCCGAUUCAACCAUUAUCGGGGCCGUUCAGGUACUUCAUGGUUUUAAUAGACGCAUCCACUAGAUGGUCUUACGUGUGUCUUUUAUCGACACGCAACCAUGCCUUUGCUAAAAUAAUGGCUCAACUUAUUAAGUUAAAAGCUCAUUAUCCUGAACAUCAGAUUCAAUCAAUCCGAAUGGACAAUGCUGCUGAAUUCUCAUCCCGUGCUUUCAAUGAUUAUUGCAUGGCAUUGGGAAUUCACGUUCAGCACUCUGUACCUUAUGUCCAUACUCAAAAUGGUUUGGCUGAAUCGUUGCUUAAAAGAAUCAAGCUCAUUGCACGACCAUUGUUAAUAAAUUGCAAAUUGCCUAUGUCAUGUUGGGGUUAUGCAGUUCUGCACGCUGCCGACCUAAUCCAACUACGACCAACUGCAUAUCACGAAACUUCCCCAAUGCAGUUAGUACAUGGAAAUCCUCUGAGUAUUUUCCAUUUGCGUAAGUUUGGGUGCGCAGUAUACGUACCCAUCUCACCACCUCAACGAACAUCAAUGGGCCCACACAGAAAAUAGGGUAUCUAUAUUGGAUACUCAUCUCCGUCAAUUAUUAAAUACUUAGAACCUCUUACAGGAGAUCUAUUUACUGCCCGGUUCGCUGAUAUUAUUUUUAAUGAGGAUCAUUUCCCGGCAUUAGGGGGAUAAUUGUACAUAAGGAAUGCCAGGAAAUUAAUUGGAAUGCUGAGGGCAUUUCAUCUUCUGAUCCACGUACUACAGAAACUGAACUACAAGUUCAAAGGAUAAUUGAUUUGCAAAAUAUUGCAAACAAUUUGCCAGGUGCUUUCUCUAAUUAUAGAGGUGUCACGAAGUCUCUUCAUCUUGCUAGGAAUGUGCCUGAACGAGUGGAGGUACCUAAUAAAACCACUCACCCCCAAUUUAGUAGAAAGAGGGGGAGAAGCACUUCCAAUAGGCAAGAUGUGAUUGCUGGCCAGCAAAAGAAGACUGAAAAUGCAACUCAACCUUCGGUUGAAAAACACCUAGAGGACAUGCAAUGUCCUAUGGAUAUAUGUGAUCCACAAUCCAGCUCAGUCAUGCGCAUAAACACUGAGGCUGGAAUAUCGGAAGACCCUAGAUCCAUCGUUUCGGGAGAUCAUGAUGAAUCUUUAAGGGUACACGAAAUUACGAUAAAUUUCGUAGAGACUGUAGAGUCUUAUAAUCAUAAGUCCACAAUAGUCGACAUUUACUUCUCUGAACAAAUUGCAAACAUUCUUCUCACUAAUGAAGAUCCCAAGUCUAUGACUGAGUGCAAGAAGCGCUUGGACUGGGAUAAGUGGAAGAUAACAAUUGAAACAGAGAUUACCUCGCUUUAUAAAAGGAAGGUAUUUUCAGCUGUAAUGCCAACACCUCCUGGUAUCUUCCCUGUAGGAUAUAUAUGGGUUUUCGUCCGUAAAAGGAAUGAAAACAACAAAGUGGUGAGAUAUAAAGCAAGGCUGGUGGCACACGGUUUUACGCAAAGACCUGGCGUUGAUUUUAACGAAACUUACUCUCCAUUAAUGAGCAUUCCGAUACUUAAUAGCAUUGGCAGUUCAAAAUCGUCUAUCUAUGCAGUUGAUAGACGUAGUGACCGUAUAUUUAUAUGGGUCAUUGGAUUCUGAGGUAUACAUGAAAGUUCCUAAUGGAAUCAGUAUACCAGAUCCUAAGGCAAAUCGCAACAUGUAUUGCGUCAAGUUGCAGAAGUCAUUAUAUGGCUUAAAACAAUCAAGCCGAAUGUGGUACAAUCGGUUAAGUCAAUUCCUUACUCAGAAGGGAUAUAAAUAAUGAUGACUGUCCUUGUGCUUUCAUUAAGAAAUCGUCAACAUGAUUUUCUAUCAUAUCGGUAUAUGUCGAUGAUCUCAACAUCAUUGGCAACAAAACCGAUAUUAAUGAAGCACGUCAUCAUUUGACGACGGAGUUUGAAAUGAAAGAUUUGGGUCAAACCAAAUUCUGCUUAGGUUUACAACUUGAGCACUUUCAUUCAGGUAUAUUUAUAUACCAGGCUGCCUAUGUCCAAAAGAUAUUGGAGAAAUUCAAUAUGGACAAGUCAUAUCCAACAAAACCCCUAUGGUAGUGAGGUCCUUAGACAUUGAGAAGGACCCUUUUAGACCAAAGGGAGAAGAUAAAAGGAUAUUGGGACCGCAGGUCCCAUAUCUGAGUACCAUUGGAGCACUUAUGUAUCUUGCUAACAACAUCCGGCCGGAUAUUGCAUCUGCAAUAAAUUUGCUGGCAAGACAUAAUGCUAGACCUACCAAACAUCAUUAGGUAGGAAUCAAAACGGUUUUGAGAUAUCUGAACGGCACUAGAGAUCUUGGAUUAUUCUAUAACAGAAAUCAAGAUCCAGUUUUGUUAGGAUAUACAGAUGCUGGUUAUUUAUCAGAUCCCCACAACGGCAGAUAACAAACAAGCUUUGUUUUCUUGCAAGAUGGAACAACAACAUCUUGGGAGUUUUUUCAAAGCAGACUCUAAUAUCUACUUCCACCAAUCAUUCUGAGAUAAUAGCUUCGCAGAAUGAUAAACCACAUAAUUCAAUCUUGUGGUAUUGGUGCAGUUGAUACACUGAUAAUUAUCUUUGAAGAUAAUUCGGUAUGUGUUACCCAAAUGGAGUCAGGUUAUAUUAAGAGUAAUAUGACUAAGCAUAUUAUACCUAAGUUAUUCUACCCCCAUGAACUCCAAAAGAAUGGAGAAAUAUAAAUCUUGCAAACCAAGUCUUGUGAUAAUCUCGCGGAUUUAUUCACAAAGUCUCUACCAUACUCUGCAUUUUGCAAAUGCGUUGAGGGCAUAGGUAUGAGAAGCUUUAAAGGAUUUGCAAGCACUAGGGGGAGAAUCUCUCUAGGAUACAUAACCUACUCCAUCACUAUAUUAUACUCUUUUUCCUUUAUAUGAGUUUUGCUCUAUUAGAGUUUUCUCACAUAAAGUUUUUAAUGAGGUAAUAGUAACACAUGGUGGUUGUCAUAUUAUCCAUUUUUCCUUACUAAGGUUUUUUCAAGGAUAAUAUAUGACAUAUUGAUCUCUGAUCAAAUUGUUUUAGACUAAGUCUUUAGGGUCACCUAAAGGGUCUAUUAACAUUGGAUUCAUAUAUAUCAUGGUGUUUUCUCCUUAUUUCUCCCACUGGGUUUUUAAGGAGUUUUGCCUGGUAUAUCGAUAUACUUUGGUUUUUCCCACAGAGUUUUCCAAAGAUUCUAGAUAGUGACUGAUGAACAAACAAAGACGUCUACAAGGACCAAUUGAUCAAGGGGGAGUGUUGAGAUUAAUUAGAAUUAAUUAAUAAGUGAUCAAUCUGUAGUUAAUCCCGUCAUUAGCAACUGCUAAUGACGGUUGUACUGUAGACUUAGGAAGACACCUUUUGGGGUUCACGAGACACCCCUUGGCCAAAGGGCAUCUGUCCCUUCGGUUUGUAUAUAUUCAGAACAUAGUUCAUC